RNAcentral lists this ribosomal RNA (510 nucleotides) under uncultured Bacillota bacterium. RNAcentral describes it as "bacterial SSU rRNA". It matches the Rfam family "Bacterial small subunit ribosomal RNA", at positions 355 to 857 of the family's 1533-position model. Lineage: Bacteria; Bacillati; Bacillota. The record is from RNAcentral.
UAGGGAAUCUUCCGCAAUGGACGAAAGUCUGACGGAGCAACGCCGCGUGAACGAUGAAGGCCUUCGGGUCGUAAAGUUCUGUUGUUAGGGAAGAACAAGUACCAGAGUAACUGCUGGUACCUUGACGGUACCUAACCAGAAAGCCACGGCUAACUACGUGCCAGCAGCCGCGGUAAUACGUAGGUGGCAAGCGUUGUCCGGAAUUAUUGGGCGUAAAGCGCGCGCAGGUGGUUUCUUAAGUCUGAUGUGAAAGCCCACGGCUCAACCGUGGAGGGUCAUUGGAAACUGGGGAACUUGAGUGCAGAAGAGGAAAGUGGAAUUCCAAGUGUAGCGGUGAAAUGCGUAGAGAUUUGGAGGAACACCAGUGGCGAAGGCGACUUUCUGGUCUGUAACUGACACUGAGGCGCGAAAGCGUGGGGAGCGAACAGGAUUAGAUACCCUGGUAGUCCACGCCGUAAACGAUGAGUGCUAAGUGUUAGAGGGUUUCGCCCUUUAGUGCUGCAGCUAACG